AGAGCGAACGCUGGCGGCAGGCCUAACACAUGCAAGUCGAGCGCCCGUAGCAAUACGGGAGCGGCAGACGGGAUAGUAACACGUGGGAACGCGCCCUUCGGUUCGGAAUAACUCAGGGAAACUUGAGCUAAUACCGGAUACGCCCUUACGGGGAAAGAUUUAUUGCCGAAGGAACGGCCCGCGUCCGAUUAGCUAGUUGGUGAGGUAAUGGCUCACCAAGGCGACGAUCGGUAGCUGGUCUGAGAGGAUGACCAGCAUCACUGGGACUGAGACACGGCCCAGACUCCUACGGGAGGCAGCAGUGGGGAAUAUUGGACAAUGGGCGCAAGCCUGAUCCAGCCAUGCCGCGUGGAUGAUGAAGGCCUUAGGGUUGUAAAGUCCUUUUAACGGGAAGAUAAUGACGGUACCGUAGAAUAAGCCCGGCUAACUUCGUGCCAGCAGCCGC
RNAcentral lists this ribosomal RNA (445 nucleotides) under uncultured bacterium. Its description in RNAcentral is "SSU rRNA". It matches the Rfam family "Bacterial small subunit ribosomal RNA", at positions 26 to 518 of the family's 1533-position model. The record is from RNAcentral.